CGCGGCCUAUCAGCUUGUUGGUGGGGUAACGGCUCACCAAGGCGACGACGGGUAGCUGGUCUGAGAGGAUGAUCAGCCACAUUGGGACUGAGAUACGGCCCAGACUCCUACGGGAGGCAGCAGUGGGGAAUAUUGCGCAAUGGCCGCAAGGCUGACGCAGCGACGCCGUGUGUGGGAUGAAGGCCCUCGGGUUGUAAACCACUGUCAGGGGGGACGAAUACCCGGCCUCGAAUAGGGGACCGGGGGUGACGGUACCCCCAGAGGAAGCACCGGCUAACUCCGUGCCAGCAGCCGCGGUAAUACGGAGGGUGCAAGCGUUGUCCGGAAUCACUGGGCGUAAAGCGCGCGUAGGCGGCCAUUUAAGUCAUUUGUGAAAUCCCGGGGCUCAACUCCGGGCCUGCAGGUGAUACUGGGUGGCUCGAGCUCGGUAGAGGCGAGUGGAAUUCCCGGUGUAGCGGUGGAGUGCGUAGAUAUCGGGAAGAACACCAGUGGCGAAGGCGGCUCGCUGGGCCGUAGCUGACGCUGAGGCGCGAAAGCGUGGGGAGCAAACAGGAUUAGAUACCCUGGUAGUCCACGCCGUAAACGAUGGGUACUAGGCGUCGGGGGGAGCGACCCCCUCGGUGCCGCAGCUAACGCAUUAAGUACCCCGCCUGGGGAGUACGG
RNAcentral lists this ribosomal RNA (663 nucleotides) under uncultured Thermoleophilum sp. RNAcentral describes it as "bacterial SSU rRNA". It matches the Rfam family "Bacterial small subunit ribosomal RNA", at positions 232 to 885 of the family's 1533-position model. The record is from RNAcentral. Lineage: Bacteria; Bacillati; Actinomycetota; Thermoleophilia; Thermoleophilales; Thermoleophilaceae.